RNAcentral lists this ribosomal RNA (759 nucleotides) under uncultured methanogenic archaeon. RNAcentral describes it as "bacterial SSU rRNA". It matches the Rfam family "Archaeal small subunit ribosomal RNA", at positions 156 to 910 of the family's 1478-position model. Lineage: Archaea; Methanobacteriati; Methanobacteriota. The record is from RNAcentral.
AUAGGCAAUUAUUCCUGNUAAUGGUUUUUUGUUUAAAUGUUUUUUCGCCUAAGGAUGGGUCUGCGGCCGAUUAGGUAGUUGGUUAGGUAAUGGCUUACCAAGCCUUUGAUCGGUACGGGUUGUGAGAGCAAGAGCCCGGAGAUGGAACCUGAGACAAGGUUCCAGGCCCUACGGGGUGCAGCAGGCGCGAAACCUCCGCAAUGUGAGAAAUCGCGACGGGGGGAUCCCAAGUGCCAUUCUUAACGGGAUGGCUUUUCAUUAGUGUAAAGAGCUUUUGGAAUAAGAGCUGGGCAAGACCGGUGCCAGCCGCCGCGGUAACACCGGCAGCUCUAGUGGUAGCAGUUUUUAUUGGGCCUAAAGCGUCCGUAGCCGGUUUAAUAAGUCUCUGGUGAAAUCCUGCAGCUUAACUGUGGGAAUUGCUGGAGAUACUAUUAGACUUGAGAUCGGGAGAGGUUAGAGGUACUCCCAGGGUAGAGGUGAAAUUCUGUAAUCCUGGGAGGACCGCCUGUUGCGAAGGCGUCUGACUGGAACGAUUCUGACGGUGAGGGACGAAAGCUAGGGGCGCGAACCGGAUUAGAUACCCGGGUAGUCCUAGCUGUAAACGAUGCGGACUUGGUGUUGGGGUGGCUUUGAGCUGUCCCAGUGCCNAAGGGAANCUGUUAAGUCCGCCCCCUGGGAAGUACCGGUCGCAAGACUGAAACUUAAAAGGAAUUGGCGGGGGGAGCNCCNCAACGCGUGGAGCCUGCGGNCUUAAUUGGA